ACGGGUGAGUAAUGCCUAGGAAUCUGCCUGGUAGUGGGGGACAACGUUUCGAAAGGAACGCUAAUACCGCAUACGUCCUACGGGAGAAAGCAGGGGACCUUCGGGCCUUGCGCUAUCAGAUGAGCCUAGGUCGGAUUAGCUAGUUGGUGAGGUAAUGGCUCACCAAGGCGACGAUCCGUAACUGGUCUGAGAGGAUGAUCAGUCACACUGGAACUGAGACACGGUCCAGACUCCUACGGGAGGCAGCAGUGGGGAAUAUUGGACAAUGGGCGAAAGCCUGAUCCAGCCAUGCCGCGUGUGUGAAGAAGGUCUUCGGAUUGUAAAGCACUUUAAGUUGGGAGGAAGGGUUGUAGAUUAAUACUCUGCAAUUUUGACGUUACCGACAGAAUAAGCACCGGCUAACUCUGUGCCAGCAGCCGCGGUAAUACAGAGGGUGCAAGCGUUAAUCGGAAUUACUGGGCGUAAAGCGCGCGUAGGUGGUUCGUUAAGUUGGAUGUGAAAUCCCCGGGCUCAACCUGGGAACUGCAUCCAAAACUGGCGAGCUAGAGUAUGGUAGAGGGUGGUGGAAUUUCCUGUGUAGCGGUGAA
RNAcentral lists this ribosomal RNA (587 nucleotides) under uncultured Pseudomonas sp. Its description in RNAcentral is "bacterial SSU rRNA". It matches the Rfam family "Bacterial small subunit ribosomal RNA", at positions 102 to 685 of the family's 1533-position model. Lineage: Bacteria; Pseudomonadati; Pseudomonadota; Gammaproteobacteria; Pseudomonadales; Pseudomonadaceae. The record is from RNAcentral.